GAGUUUGAUCGUGGCUCAGGACGAACGCUGGCGGCGCGCUUAACACAUGCAAGUCGAGCGAGAACCAGUCCUUCGGGACUGGGACAGCGGCGAACGGGUGAGUAACACGUGGGUAAUCGACCCUUGGUACUGGGAUAGCCCGGGGAAACCCGGAUUAAUACCGGAUGGCCCAGCAGCUCUUCGGGGCGGCUGGAAAAGGUAGCUUCGGCCUCCGACCAAGGACGAGCCCGCGGCGGAUUAGCUUGUUGGCGGGGUAACGCCCACCAAGGCGACGAUCCGUAGCUGGUCUGAGAGGACGAUCAGCCACACUGGGACUGAGACACGGCCCAGACUCCUACGGGAGGCAGCAGUGGGGAAUCUUGCGCAAUGGGCGAAAGCCUGACGCAGCGACGCCGCGUGGGGGAAGAAGGCUUUCGGGUUGUAAACCCCUUUCAGGGAGGACGAAGCUACUCGGGUUAAUAGCCCAGAGGGUGACGGUACUUCCAGAAGAAGCCCCGGCUAACUACGUGCCAGCAGCCGCAGU
Molecule: ribosomal RNA, 523 nt
Filed under: uncultured bacterium
Lineage: Bacteria
Description: bacterial SSU rRNA
Rfam family: Bacterial small subunit ribosomal RNA
Source: RNAcentral